This 267-nucleotide ribosomal RNA is filed under the name uncultured archaeon. Its description in RNAcentral is "partial 16S ribosomal RNA". It matches the Rfam family "Archaeal small subunit ribosomal RNA", at positions 717 to 982 of the family's 1478-position model. The record is from RNAcentral.
ACACGACUACAUUAGAUACCCCCUGUAGUCCUAGCCGUAAACGAUACUCGCUAGGUGUCGGCCACGGUGCGACCGUUGUCGGUGCCGUAGGGAAGCCGUGAAGCGAGCCACCUGGGAAGUACGGCCGCAAGGCUGAAACUUAAAGGAAUUGGCGGGGGAGCACAACAACGGGUGGAGCUUGCGGUUUAAUUGGAUUCAACGCCGGAAAUCUUACCGGGACCGACAGCAACAUGAAGGCCAAGCUGAAGACUUUGCCGGAUUUAGCUG